CAGUCGCCGCGGUAAUACGGAGGGUGCAAGCGUUACUCGGAAUUACUGGGCGUAAAGCGUGCGUAGGUGGUGGUUUAAGUCCGUUGUGAAAGCCCUGGGCUCAACCUGGGAAUUGCAGUGGAUACUGGGUCACUAGAGUGUGGUAGAGGAUAGUGGAAUUUCCGGUGUAGCAGUGAAAUGCGUAGAGAUCGGAAGGAACAUCUGUGGCGAAGGCGACUAUCUGGGCCAACACUGACACUGAGGCACGAAAGCGUGGGGAGCAAACAGGAUUAGAUACCCGUGUAGUCCCUGUCUCUUAUAC
This 301-nucleotide ribosomal RNA is filed under the name uncultured bacterium. Its description in RNAcentral is "partial 16S ribosomal RNA". It matches the Rfam family "Bacterial small subunit ribosomal RNA", at positions 509 to 807 of the family's 1533-position model. The record is from RNAcentral.